GGUUCGGUAGUGUAAUGAAUGAGCACAUCAAACUAGAUAUCUGCAGCUGCGGGUUCGAUUCCCGCCUGAGGUU
This 73-nucleotide transfer RNA is filed under the name Dictyocaulus viviparus (bovine lungworm). It matches the Rfam family "tRNA". From Rfam's summary of the family: Transfer RNA (tRNA) molecules are approximately 80 nucleotides in length. Their secondary structure includes four short double-helical elements and three loops (D, anti-codon, and T loops). Lineage: Eukaryota; Metazoa; Nematoda; Chromadorea; Rhabditida; Metastrongylidae. The record is from Rfam by way of RNAcentral.